GCUCAGAGGUAAACGGGUGGAGUUGAACUGCAAGCUCUGUGAAUUCAGCUGGUGAGUAUGGUUUGGGCUUGGUCAAGUUGGUCGAGCUUCGAAGUCUGCGUAUUAGCAGGUCUCUGCUCUCGGGUGGAGAUGCGCGGUGCACCUACCAAGUGUUGUGCGCUUCGGAGUUCCGGAUCAGCUCGCCAGUGCACUUUUGCAGAGUGUUCACCACGACCGGCAUCGCUGUCUGGCUGUUGUGGUUAAACCGGUCUUGCAUUGUCCUUGUGGCUUUGUUUGGUCGGGACGGCAGGUAGCUCGUUGAUGUUCCGUAGCUUGCUGCGGUCGUCUUCGGGUGUAAUCAGCUGACUACGAUGGUUCUGUGCAGUAUGUCGGAGACGGCGGCUUGUGUGUUCGUGCAUGCCGGUCCUGUGGGCUUGCUCGGGUCUGACUGUCGUGUUGCUUGCGUAAGCAGGCCUGAUGGUGGCUCGGGUUUGUUCUGCAGGCGGUUGUGUGCGUGACAUCUUAUGCGGGCCAAUAGUCUGUGGUGUAGUGGUAGACGAUCCACCUGACCCGUCUUGAAACACGGACCAAGGAGAGUAACAUGUGCGCGAGUCAUUGGGCGUAACGAAACCCAAAGGCGCAGUGAAAGUAAAGGCUUGGCUUGUCCUUGCUGAGGUGAGAUCCUGCCGUUUCUCAUGCGCGGUACUACCAAGCAUCGAGCGGUGGGCGCAUCACCGGCCCGUCCCAUGACGUAAACACAUAGCUUCGUGCCAGUGCACCGUCGGGGCGGAGCAUGAGCGUACAUGUUGAGACCCGAAAGAUGGUGAACUAUGCUUGCGCAGGUUGAAGCCAGAGGAAACUCUGGUGGAGGACCGCAGCGAUUCUGACGUGCAAAUCGAUCGUCAAACGUGAGUAUA
This 896-nucleotide ribosomal RNA is filed under the name Forticulcita isabelae. RNAcentral describes it as "partial large subunit ribosomal RNA". It matches the Rfam family "Eukaryotic large subunit ribosomal RNA", at positions 407 to 919 of the family's 3401-position model. The record is from RNAcentral. Lineage: Eukaryota; Metazoa; Platyhelminthes; Trematoda; Plagiorchiida; Haploporidae.